This 55-nucleotide microRNA precursor is filed under the name Mus musculus (house mouse). Its description in RNAcentral is "microRNA mmu-mir-12196 precursor". Lineage: Eukaryota; Metazoa; Chordata; Mammalia; Rodentia; Muridae. The record is from miRBase by way of RNAcentral.
UCCUUUCUAGCUCACCUGUGACUGAGCUGAGAGUCACAGGUGAGCUAGAAAGUAU